RNAcentral lists this ribosomal RNA (938 nucleotides) under Klebsiella pneumoniae subsp. ozaenae. RNAcentral describes it as "bacterial SSU rRNA". It matches the Rfam family "Bacterial small subunit ribosomal RNA", at positions 193 to 1112 of the family's 1533-position model. Lineage: Bacteria; Pseudomonadati; Pseudomonadota; Gammaproteobacteria; Enterobacterales; Enterobacteriaceae. The record is from RNAcentral.
UCGCAAGACCAAAGUGGGGGACCUUCGGGCCUCAUGCCAUCAGAUGUGCCCAGAUGGGAUUAGCUAGUAGGUGGGGUAACGGCUCACCUAGGCGACGAUCCCUAGCUGGUCUGAGAGGAUGACCAGCCACACUGGAACUGAGACACGGUCCAGACUCCUACGGGAGGCAGCAGUGGGGAAUAUUGCACAAUGGGCGCAAGCCUGAUGCAGCCAUGCCGCGUGUGUGAAGAAGGCCUUCGGGUUGUAAAGCACUUUCAGCGGGGAGGAAGGCGUUAAGGUUAAUAACCUUGUCGAUUGACGUUACCCGCAGAAGAAGCACCGGCUAACUCCGUGCCAGCAGCCGCGGUAAUACGGAGGGUGCAAGCGUUAAUCGGAAUUACUGGGCGUAAAGCGCACGCAGGCGGUCUGUCAAGUCGGAUGUGAAAUCCCCGGGCUCAACCUGGGAACUGCAUUCGAAACUGGCAGGCUAGAGUCUUGUAGAGGGGGGUAGAAUUCCAGGUGUAGCGGUGAAAUGCGUAGAGAUCUGGAGGAAUACCGGUGGCGAAGGCGGCCCCCUGGACAAAGACUGACGCUCAGGUGCAAAAGCGUGGGGAGCAAACAGGAUUAGAUACCCUGGUAGUCCACGCCGUAAACGAUGUCGAUUUGGAGGUUGUGCCCUUGAGGCGUGGCUUCCGGAGCUAACGCGUUAAAUCGACCGCCUGGGGAGUACGGCCGCAAGGUUAAAACUCAAAUGAAUUGACGGGGGCCCGCACAAGCGGUGGAGCAUGUGGUUUAAUUCGAUGCAACGCGAAGAACCUUACCUGGUCUUGACAUCCACAGAACUUUCCAGAGAUGGAUUGGUGCCUUCGGGAACUGUGAGACAGGUGCUGCAUGGCUGUCGUCAGCUCGUGUUGUGAAAUGUUGGGUUAAGUCCCGCAACGAGCGCAACCCUUAUCCUU